Helianthus annuus (common sunflower) is the source of this 719-nucleotide long non-coding RNA. RefSeq lists it as uncharacterized. The record is from RefSeq and is a predicted model, not a curated record. NCBI's taxonomy places the organism in Eukaryota, Viridiplantae, Streptophyta, Magnoliopsida, Asterales, Asteraceae. The transcript is spliced from 3 exons.
GUUUCUUCGUUUAUUAAAUAAAUGAACAUAAACGAACUUCAGGCCGAACAAGUUUGUGAAUGUUCGAUUCAUUUACCGGCCUACACCCAAAGUAUAUUUUUAAAGCUGCGACCUUUUGAACUGCUACUGCGCACUAUUUGUAACCAGCAUCAUCCGUGAUCCCACCUGAACCAGAAGAAACCUGUGUGAAAUUCGAGCACAUCUUCUUAAUCUAUUUGUAUACGUUGGUUGCAGGGUAUGAGAAGAAGCUGAAAUCACAGGCUUCACAGUUUUGAUCGUCAUUCACUUGAAGAAACAUAACAAAUUGAAUGAGUAGUGGGCUAAAGUAGUCGAGGUCACCGACACAAAAGACGAGUAGCAUGAAAUGGCGAACUACGGCUGCCUGCACUGAUCAGGAGGGAAAAUGAAGUCCGAUAAUCAAGCGCAACCGAGUUCGAAGAAGAAAGAAAAAAAACGCAGCAGCUUUUACUUGUUUAUUUAUUAGUUUAAUAGGUCAAACAAUUUACUGUUUAUGUUUUAUUUGUCUAGAAUUUGGGCCUGAGGCCAUGUUAUGUAGUUAAUGGGUCAAGACACUAGAAGUCCAUUAGGUUUAGUUGUUGGGUUAUGAAGUUUGGGCCUAAUAUAUGCGAACAGACGUGACUUUGACAUAACCGCACAUACGGUUAUUUUUAGGCUCGAGCUUGUUUAAGCUCAACUUGAUUAAGCUUUUAGCAAAUCGA